AUAUCACUAAAUAUUUUUGAACUUUUUUUAUUAUUAGUUUGCAUUUUGAUCUGCCUGCAAAAUAUUGAAUGGGCACAAUGGAAAAUAAUAAGUGGGUAGAAAUGCUUCCUGUAGCCUGAACUGUGCCCUAGUUAGUGGUUGAGUUGUUCACCUGUGUGCUUGAGGAACUGCUCUAAGAGAAAGUAGUUUUUGUGACUCAGUGUGUUUUUUUUUUUUCCUCUUCAGACAGAGAAAGACAAAAACAGGAAAUUUGGAUGGACUACUUUCCUCCCGACGAACUUUAUCACAGCAGGGAGGACAGUGUCCACAAGGCGGGUGUCAACGUCCCAAAUCGCUUCAUGCAACUUGAGGAACACUUUCUUCGAUCAGCUCGACCCGUGUGACGAGGUGUUCUGUUUGAAGCCACCCCUUCUAGAAGAACCUGAGAAUGAAAACCAUUGCUGGGUCGACCUAGUCUUAUUAAAAGACAAACAAUAUUUUAAAAAAGAUCAUUUACAGCUAAAGGAGAGUGAAAACAAGUGAGCUGACAACAAGCCAACCUCAUCCAACCAAUCCUUACUGGAUCUUUGCCAGUAAAAUCCAGCCUUUGGCAACCCACCCAGUUUACCAACCCUUUAAAGCAGGCAGGCUCCUGACCUGGAUAAAAACCCUAUUUUAAGAAGCUGUGCAGACUCAGAACCUACUAGCUGCUGGGGCCCAAGAUGUUUUCAAAUCUCCUCUACUCAUGUCUUGCUGAGGGUGGCCAUCUGUUUUUUUAUCUCCUGGUGAAGUGCUUUCUGCUUGCUCUCUCUCUCUCUCUCUCUCUCUCUCUCUCUCUCUCUCUCUCUCUCUCUC
Silurus meridionalis is the source of this 834-nucleotide long non-coding RNA. RefSeq lists it as uncharacterized. The transcript has 3 exons. The record is from RefSeq and is a predicted model, not a curated record. NCBI's taxonomy places the organism in Eukaryota, Metazoa, Chordata, Actinopteri, Siluriformes, Siluridae.